Molecule: long non-coding RNA, 2081 nt
Filed under: Mytilus galloprovincialis (Mediterranean mussel)
Lineage: Eukaryota; Metazoa; Mollusca; Bivalvia; Mytilida; Mytilidae
Source: RNAcentral
GUAAAAAGUGUUGUUAUGUCCAUGAUUAAAAAGGCACUUUCGGAAAAUCUUGAUCAAUGUUUCGUAUUUAAAAUGUGGUACAAAAUAAUCUAAAACACUUUCAUGUUGCAUGUGUUUGUUUAUUUGUAGGUAUAAUUUGUUCUUGUCUCUUCGCAUAUGGAUUGCUUUUAACUCAAACACGUGUUUGUGGAGACAAAAAUAAUUUGUUUAUUUAAGGAUUGAAUGCUUCUUUUUGUAAAUUUAUUUGGGUGUAAACGCGUUGACCGAAGUACAUUUUGUAUGAAGCGCGGAGGCGCUUCAUUCUAAAAAUGUACGCACGGUCAACGCUUUUACAACCCUAUAAAGUUACAAAAGAAGCAUUCAAUACUUAUAAUUACAUAUUUUAGCUAUGAUCAUGAAAACACGAAUCUUAUAUAUUUUAUUAUUUAAUUCACCUGUGCACUUUAUUGUUGGAGCACGUGUUAUCAUGAAUGAAAAGUUGUAUUGAGAAAUGCAACUGCUUACGGAAUAACACGUGAUGUGCAGUUAGCCAAUCAGAAUGAAAUAUUAUAAUGAAACAUACAUCUAAUGUAAUUAUUCCUUAUUUAAUAUAGGGAAUGUUUUUACUGUUUCAAGAUUUGUGGGGGGCUUUUUCCCUGUUAAUUUAUCUUAUAUACAUUCGAUACGCAUUGACACUUUUGAAAAAGGGAGGCAACAGAUACCCAUAUGAUAUUCGACCUUACAAAUUGAAAACAAAUUAAGAAAGUCAGGACUAAAAAACAAAAAAGGAUGAAGAGACGAACAACAAUAUACAGAAAGCUCAACAUUCAGGAACUAAAGACUUGGGUUGCUAUUAGGUGCUCCAGGCUCCAGACGAAAAAAGCAUAUUGAGGUUAAUGGAACUAUGAUAAAGAUUAUUAUAUACCUUUGAUACCCAGCCGACGCACCUUUUAUAGUUUUUUUUCGUUUUUCGUAUUCACUACCUAAUCGAUUAACAAAUUGUAAAGAAACUAAGGUUUCAAUUCCCUCAAUGAAAGUUGGUCUCAGAUGAAUGUUGGCGAUCUAAUAUGUCUUUCGUAGUUAUAUAUAACUCUUCAACUGUUCAUCCUUGACUUCAAAUAUUCGGCUUUGAGAGUUCCUGAUGAAGGUUAAUCCAGAAAAGCGCCUAGGAUGCAUGACGUUUUUUUUUUAUUUGAACAUGGACAAACUACUGCUGCCUAGUUUAUUAUAUACCCAAAGUGAACGCUUUUACACGACAUGAUGCCAUUCAUUAACAAAAAAGUAAAAUCACAAAAAUACUGAACUCGGAGGAAAAUUAAAAACAGAAAGUCCCUAGCCAAACAACAAAAUAUAGAACUAAUAGUUAUCAAAGGUAUUAGGAUUAUAAUUUAAUACGCCAGAAGCGCGUUUCGUCUACAUAAGACUCGUCAGUGACGCUCAGAUCAAAAUAGUUAUAAAGCCAAACAAGUACAAAGUUGAAGAGCAUUGAAGACCCAAAAUUCCAAAAAGUUGUGUCAAAUACGGCUAAGGUAAUCUAUUCUAAUACUAAAACACAUCAAACGAAUGAAUAAAAACUGCCAUAUUCCUGACUUGGUACAAGCAUUUUCUUAUGUAGAAAAUUGUGGAUUAAAUCUGGUUUAAAAGCUGGGCCAUAUGAGGGGCCAAAUAAAACCUUUGGAACCGCGACUUGAAUAAAUUACAUGACGUCAUAAAAAAUGAUGAAGUCUGCAACCGGGCUGAUAUCGAUAGCAUCAAAGAAGGCCGAUAUAACAUGAGAUUGCAAUUGAUUUCAUUAAACCUAUAAUUAUCUAUUUAUUUCUAGGUGUAUAAUAUAAUACUGCCGUUUCAUUGUUUAGAAUAAGAAAUGAAAUAAAAUUAGCAAAAACUAUCAUUACGCGUAUAUAUAGCUUUGUGAGAGUUGUUCGGUUUUGAGAAUGACGUCAAGAUCAUGAGGGUGGUAAUGAGUGUACUUUCAUUACGAAUAAUGGUAAAAAAAUGUCUUGCCAAAUGACGUUUACGGUUAACACAUUACCGAAUUAUGAAAAUAUUAACUGAUGUAAAUAUGUGAUUACCCUUUCUCUUUUUUAAUGCUUAUAUUAUAU